Molecule: long non-coding RNA, 484 nt
Organism: Physeter macrocephalus (sperm whale)
Lineage: Eukaryota; Metazoa; Chordata; Mammalia; Artiodactyla; Physeteridae
Exons: 4
Source: RefSeq, a predicted model, not a curated record
GCCUAGUUUUUCCCAGCCAGGCCCAGAGUCUGAGAGAGGGUUAAUAGGCAGGAAGCUGAAGCCAUCGCAGACUAAUACGGAAGAUGGCUCUUGCUCACCAGAGCCUCACAAAGAUAAUCGCUCAGGAAGUGUUUCAGCCAAUCCGGGGCCGCCUUACACUCCGAUUUGCCGGGGCAGCCAAUCGGGGAUGAGCUUUUAUUAGGCGGCCAGAUCAUCAAGCCGAAGUGCCAAACCCUUUUUCUGUGAGAACUAGGAGCCUGUCCUCCAUGUUUUAUAAGUAUUGACAUUACACAGUGUUAACAAUGCAUCCACAGAGCUUGGCUGAAGAGGAAAUAAAAACAGAACAGGAGGUGGUAGAGGGCAUGGAUAUCUCUACUCGCUCCAAAGAAGCUUGGAGAUUGUCAUACGUCAGUUUGUCUAGAGGUGCCUCAUUCUUCUUCAUGGCUGUAUCCCGCAGUAUGUUAUCAGGCCAACUCCCAGUUUG